AGAUGAAUUAUAGGAUUAUUACAUUCUUCCCCAAACCUCCCCGUAAACCCUAUCUUCCCCUUCCCCAAAUUCAUCCAGUUUAGCGACUUCGACCGGCGAUUUCGUCUUUUCGACUUAUAAAUCACUAAUCCAAAUCCAACGACUCCUUUUAAUCUUUCCGUCUUCCCUACCCCUUUCACGAUGCUACUACCAUAUCCCCUUACAACGACAAGGCUGGGAUUUGGCCAGAAAUGGGGCGGAUAGUGGAUAAGAUUCGUUGGCUCGACUGCUAUAUAGUCAGUCUUAAGUAUUUUUUUUUUAUUUGAUUGCUUAAAUUUUUGCAAUUAAUUGGAGAAGUGUUAUUUCUCUUGUGGAUGUGAUUGUACUUUUUCGAUGUGUGUUGGUUAUUUGAAUUUGACUUGCUUUUUGGUAAAUUAAGGCAUUUCAUGUUUUAAUUUUGGGCAUAUAGCAAAGUUCUCUAAUUAGAAUUUGCAAGAGCUUGCUUUGUUAACUGAUCUUGGUACCACUUUUAUAUUUAUUAUCUUUUCAAAAGAUAAAAGCACUCUUUAUCAGAUGCACAUAUCUGUUUAGUAUUAAAAAUAAUCUGGAUUUUACUGAUAAAUAAUUAUAGACUCGGACCUGCAUACAAUUCACAUUGAUUGUCCACUCAGUUGUAUGCCUUUCAGUUUGGUAAUUGUCCCUUUAUAAAUGAUUGUAAAUAAAUCUCCUUGUAGUCUUAAGUUUUGAAAGGGAAAUCCAUAUUCCGUGAAACAUCCUCUGUACAAUAGAUUUAAGUAUCUUCUCUACCGCUAAUUUGUGCUUCUAUUGAGUGAGAACUGAAUAAAUCAGUCUCUGCAAAUGUAAUUUAAGGUUAAAUCGGAGUCCGUCAACAUGAGAAUGGUGAUUGAGUAUAAGGUGUGUGAGCUCUUAAUACCUUCUUACUAUUCUGUAUGAAUCAGAUAGAGGAGAUUCAGAUGUCACUGCUACCAAGGCAACUCGAUAGUAAAAGAGAGCUGAAGUGUGGUUACUUUAACUAUUUAUGAUUAUUUCUCUUCUAAUAUCAUGCUUCUUGGACUCAAAAUCAAAAUUUGCUUAGUAUUACGUGAUAUAGAGCUUCAAAUUACAAUCAAAUUCUAACUUAGAGGGGCUUUCAAGAGCAUUUACUUACCAACAUGACAUUCAAAGAUAAAGGGUAACUCUUUUUUCCUAUAAUAAUUGAUGCCAUGGUAUGCGCACAUCCUGUAAAUACCAAAUAAAGUUACUAGCUCUAAAAAGGGUGAACUUUUACUUAUGUUGUAGGUGUCUGUGAGGAGAAUCCAGAAGUUAUCUGUCAAGAUUACAUAAACUAGUUUCUCCUUUAUAGCAAGGGACGGCCAAAAGGAGUCACUCCUAAAUUCAGCCUAGCACUGCUCGUCCCAGGUGAUCUAAACUACUUGUCCAGGGACAAACGUUCGUCGAAAAGGAAAAUGAUGUUGGCCAAGGAGGAAUCCAUAGACAACAACAACAACAACCCAGUAUAAUCCCACAAGUGGGGUCUGGGGAGGAUAAUAUGUACGCAGACCUUACCCCUACCCCGAAGGGUAGAGAGGCUGUUUCCAGGAGACCCUCGGCUCAAAAAAACAAUAGGAAUCCAUAGACAGUUGAUUUUAUUUUCCAUGUUUAUGCACAAUUGAAUGUAUUAUGGAGUGUUGUAUACUUUGUAGAAUAGAUGGUAAUGAAAAGUUCUAUGUCAUUUUAUUCAAUUGUA
This is a non-coding RNA of Nicotiana tabacum (common tobacco), 1726 nucleotides long. Lineage: Eukaryota; Viridiplantae; Streptophyta; Magnoliopsida; Solanales; Solanaceae. The record is from RefSeq and is a predicted model, not a curated record.